Acipenser ruthenus (sterlet) is the source of this 2511-nucleotide long non-coding RNA. RefSeq lists it as uncharacterized. NCBI's taxonomy places the organism in Eukaryota, Metazoa, Chordata, Actinopteri, Acipenseriformes, Acipenseridae. The record is from RefSeq and is a predicted model, not a curated record. The transcript is spliced from 3 exons.
UGCAAUGCUGAGCAGUCCGUGUUAAUAUUAAUAUUAAUAAUAAUAGUGCAGCAGAAACAAUGCUCGUCUUUCUUAUUUUUAUUUUCAUUGUGGUUUGUAUAUUAAUAAAACACCAGCACUCGCUUGCAUUGCCCAUAAUAUACCGCAUGUAUGCAUUUAGAAAACGUUGCCAUUGUUAUAUGAAAACAUUUUUGGUAUUGCUGUCAUUACUACAGCACCUCACCUGUUGUAUACAGAUAGGGGGGCAGUCUUGAUCAGAAUGGCACGUUGUGUACCUUGAGUUUGUACGCGGAGUCUGUUACCAUUAGCGAUAAUGUCGUGUUGUGAACACUGAACGCUGGUGCAGUGUGCGGCUGCAGUCGUUGCUGUUUGAAAUUCACAUGGCGCCCACUGGAUUGCUGUGUUGCAAUCUGGACCUCCGUACAUCACAAGCUCCGUUGUUGUUUUGCUGUUCAAAAAAAAAAAUGAAAGAAUGCACGCGUGCGUUGAGUCUCUGCAAAUCCUUAUACUCCAAGUGCCGGUUUGGGGGAGCGAGUCCCACCGUGCAGUGUGGGGAGGUGCAGGUUACGACCCCGCCUCCCCUUCCUGAGCGCCUUUCUUUAUAAUCCCAGCACGAGGGGCGCUGCACGUGGGGGGCUCCUCUGCACCUCCUCGCGUUUGCAAACCCGCGGACAUGCGUGCACACCGUGCAGCCAGAGAGAGUUCGUUUGGUGAUGUUUUCAACGGAGUUCCAGGUUCGGUUACUUUGGAAAGAAGCUGGAUGAGGAACAUCUGAACUGACUCUGAAGGAUGAAGAACAUGGCAGGAAUGUUUGUGCAAAAGUCCUUACAGUGCAGAUAGCCGGCACUCUGACUGCAGUGCAAACACUUCUACCUUUGCCUUGCUGAUUGCUUGCUUGUGUGUUUUUUUUGUUUUUUUUUUAGUCCUUUUUCAAUGCUUUCUACGGAACUGGAAGCGGGCGAGCGCGUCUUGGUGUCUGGCUGCCCGUCCUGCUGUGGUAUUUAUGUUAAGGUGCAUCUAGUGCAGUUAGUGAACUAGCCUAGAAUCUACUGCGCUGGGUGCUCCUUCUGGCAUACAUGCUGCACUGUGCUUCAGGGCUGGCCCUGGUCCGGUAUAUCAGCCUGGAGAGACGUGCUCUCUGUUCAGAAGAGGUCUGUGUGUGAGACCCCAGCCUUGUAUGAUGAUGUGUUACAAUCCAGUCUGUUCAAUCUGUCGUGUUUGUAGGAAGUGUCGUUUCAGAAAUUGCUUAACUUUUUUUUGUGUGGUAGGAACUGCUAAUAAAUUUGACUCUUCAUGGUGUGAAAUGUUUGCUUUCAAGACCUGAAAAGUCUUCAGGUGUCGUGUUUUGUAUGUCACUGUAGCUCAGUCAACGUGUGUCUCCUGCAUCUGCCUCCACAGAGACUUGAGGCUGGCUGUGUGCACCUGCUGUGAUUGUCAGAAAGCCGCGCAGAGUGCAGGAAGGAGAUCCACGCUUCCUUGCAGGGACUUGUGUGUGACCUGGCCAGGGCACAGAGACUGUCUGUCUGCGCAGCAUCAAAGUGCUCACAGUGCAGGUAGUGGUGACUUCAAUCUACUGCACAGUGGGCACUUCUAGUGGUGCCUGACACUUGAAUCUCCUCCUCCCUGUGUGUGUGUGCGUUACGUACAGUGUGGGUUUGAUUUUUGUGAGGCACGCAGAUACCGGUUAGUUUUGCUGGUUUGCAUCCAGCUUUGAGAUUCCUCCGCUGUGCAAAUCCAUGCAAAACUCGCUGUGGCUGCGAGCAGCGUCCGUCCUGCUGCUUCUGAUUUGCACGCUUGCUCGUUUGUUUAUGCAUUUACUUCAAAUAUAAUCCAUGUGGAAGAUGGCAAGGAUGCGUCUGCAGUGCUUUUGAAAUGUAUUGGGUCCAGGCCUUUACAUUGCUCUGGAUUAGAUCUGGAAUGUGGAAUGUAUUGCUGUGGAAUGUUCCGGUGUAACCCUGCUUGCUCGGGGACAGGGUGUAUUGCUGUGGAAUGUUCCGGUGUAACCCUGCUUGCUCGGGGACAGGGUGUAUUGCUGUGGAAUGUUCCGGUGUAACCCUGCUUGCUCGGGGACAGGGUGUAUUGCUGUGGGAUGUUCCGGUGUAACCCUGCUUGCUCGGGGACAGGGUGUAUUGCUGUGGAGUAUUCCGGUGUAACCCUGCUUGCUCGGGGACAGGGUGUAUUGCUGUGGACAGUGUGCAGAGAAAGUGAAGGUGCACUGGAAGGAGGAAGUGACGUCUUGGUCCCCUGUAAGCAGGAAUGUGGCGGGGGCUCCAGUCUUGCUGUUUUCGGGUGGGUGGCGUUGCAAUCUUAUUCAAACGUUUAAAAAUUGCACGGUAUCCAUCUGUAAUCCGCGAGAUACUCGCAUCUCCAGGACGUGUGGCAGUGAUUGCUGGCCAUGCAGUAAAAUAUUCAACCGAGCUUCUGAGUUACAGGCAAGUGGUCUGCUUGUUUUAUUGCUUUUAUUUAUUUAUUUUACUUUUAGUUUUAAAAUAAUAAAUGUAAUAAUAAACA